RNAcentral lists this ribosomal RNA (254 nucleotides) under uncultured bacterium. RNAcentral describes it as "partial 16S ribosomal RNA". It matches the Rfam family "Bacterial small subunit ribosomal RNA", at positions 524 to 776 of the family's 1533-position model. The record is from RNAcentral.
UACGUAGGGGGCGAGCGUUGUCCGGAUUCAUUGGGCGUAAAGAGCUCGUAGGCGGCUUGGCAAGUCGGAUGUGAAAACUCCAGGCUCAACCUGGAGCCGCCAUUCGAUACUGCUAUGGCUAGAGUCCGGUAGGGGAGUGUGGAAUUCCCGGUGUAGCGGUGAAAUGCGCAGAUAUCGGGAGGAACACCGAUGGCGAAGGCAGCACUCUGGGACGUGACUGACGCUGAGACGCGAAAGCGUGGGGAGCAAACAGG